Molecule: ribosomal RNA, 494 nt
Filed under: uncultured bacterium
Lineage: Bacteria
Description: partial 16S ribosomal RNA
Rfam family: Bacterial small subunit ribosomal RNA
Source: RNAcentral
GACGAACGCUGGCGGCGUGCUUAACACAUGCAAGUCGAACGGUGAAGCGCCUUCCUUUUUGGUGGGUGUGGAUGAGUGGCGAACGGGUGAGUAACACGUGAGUAACCUGCCCCCUUCUUCUGGAUAACCGCAUGAAAGUGUGGCUAAUACGGGAUAUUCUGGGUCUGUCGCAUGAUGGGUCUGGGAAAGAUAUUGUUUCGGUGGGGGAUGGGCUCGCGGCCUAUCAGCUUGUUGGUGGGGUGAUGGCCUACCAAGGCGGUGACGGGUAGCCGGCCUGAGAGGGUGGACGGUCACACUGGGACUGAGACACGGCCCAGACUCCUACGGGAGGCAGCAGUGGGGAAUAUUGCACAAUGGGCGCAAGCCUGAUGCAGCGACGCCGCGUGAGGGAUGGAGGCCUUCGGGUUGUGAACCUCUUUCGCCAGUGAAGCAGGCCUGCCUCAUUUGUGGGUGGGUUGACGGUAGCUGGAGAAGAAGCGCCGGCUAACUACGUG